RNAcentral lists this transfer RNA (72 nucleotides) under Bos taurus (domestic cattle). It matches the Rfam family "tRNA". Rfam says of the family: Transfer RNA (tRNA) molecules are approximately 80 nucleotides in length. Their secondary structure includes four short double-helical elements and three loops (D, anti-codon, and T loops). Further hydrogen bonds mediate the characteristic L-shaped molecular structure. tRNAs have two regions of fundamental functional importance: the anti-codon, which is responsible for specific mRNA codon recognition, and the 3' end, to which the tRNAs corresponding amino acid is attached (by aminoacyl-tRNA synthetases). tRNAs cope with the degeneracy of the genetic code in two manners: having more than one tRNA (with a specific anti-codon) for a particular amino acid; and 'wobble' base-pairing, i.e. permitting non-standard base-pairing at the 3rd anti-codon position. The record is from Rfam by way of RNAcentral. Lineage: Eukaryota; Metazoa; Chordata; Mammalia; Artiodactyla; Bovidae. RNAcentral also lists the same sequence under 2 other names.
UCUUUGGUAGCUCAGUUGGUAAAGAGUCUGCCUGCAAUGCAGGAGACCCAGGUUCAAUUCCUGGGUUGGGAA